CAGGGUUCCCAGCACGCAUUAUCGUGCAGGGCCAACGGGUGGCCGACACCUGUCCUGAUAGGACCCCACCACUUAAUAAAACGUUUUUCUUUUCUUAAUUUACUGAAACCAGUUUUUCUUUGCCUUAUCCCGGCGUACCGCUGCUGCCACUCCCUCUUCCACAGCCACUCAUUCCACUGUGAGGGAGGAUUCCGACCGAGAAAUCCACCGUUCAGGUCCGUCGCCGGCGGCAAGACAGGAGCUGUAUAGCGCCGUCCGUCUCUGAUGCGCUUCGCCGCCCGGAGCUGUCACGGCUAGCGCCACCCGUCUCCGGCGCGAUUCGCCGCCAGGAGCCACGGGGUUCGAAGGCAGUAAGACAGGAAUCGCCGUCGCUCACCUCCGGCAUGCUGCGCGGCCUGGAGCCGUUGUCUUGGCUGGAGGCAAGAUGGGAUCCGUCGCGGCUAGCUCUGCUCGCCUAAGGCGCGCUGCGCCACGCCCGGCCGUGGACUUGGCCGGCAGCAAAACGGGGCCGUCGCGGCUAGUGUCGCUCGCCUCCGGCACACCCAAGGCCAGCCCAAGGUUGUGGCUGACCCGCUCCCUGUGAGGUGGUGGCACGGUGGAACUGCAGCGCGUGCAGCCGGUGGCUGAGAUUCCGCGGGAGGUCGCGCCGUCACAGUGGAAGAUGCGAACUCGAUGCAAACUCAACAAGCAAAGGCGCAAGAACAUACCUACGGACGAUGAAGUGGCAGGAGCUCCGUCCAUGCUGAAGAACACCGUAGAUGUUGAUCCACAGAGAGGACAAUUUCCUAUCAAUCUUGAUCUAUUCUCCUUUGAUCCGGGGGCAACAACAAUGGAAUAGAUUGGUAUGAGAAAGGAUGGAUGAAGUCACGAAGAGAUUUUGGCGGCAAUCUGGUGUUAGGCGGGAGAUAAACCUGUCGUUUUGCUGAUUUUUUAGAGCUAACUGCAAUUAGAGAGAUACGCUGGGUUGUUUAAGUGGUGGGGUCCUACCAGGACAGGUGUCGGCCACCCGUUGGCCCUGCACCAUAAUGCGUGCUGGGAACCCUGCAGGAGAGCCCGACCCACAAAAAUUACACCAACAUCCAUGGAGUCCGGAAGGGAUUGCGGCAACAGAUCAAGACGAUGCACGGACGAACAACCAACCAUGACCACUACAAAUAGCCGUCUGUCCAACAAGGAGAGCAUAGCUCGGGCGAUUAUUGUUAGGAUGUGUUUGGUACAACCAAAGGUAACGGGACUGGUAAUGGAAUCAGGUAGCGGUGGGAUCACAGCGUAAUAGGAGGAUUUGCUUUUCUGUUUGUUUCAUGCAUGUAAAGGUAUCAAGUUACAGAGCUAACAAGAUCUGCUGUGUAAUCAGAUUGCAAAAAAACAAAAAAAUCUCACAGAAUCGAAGCCAAGAACAAGCUAACAUGAUCUUGACGACAAUUAACUAGAGCAAUAAACAAAUCAUGGAGAGGGAUUUGGCCA
Long non-coding RNA from Triticum aestivum (bread wheat), 1464 nucleotides. RefSeq lists it as uncharacterized. The record is from RefSeq and is a predicted model, not a curated record. The transcript is spliced from 2 exons. Lineage: Eukaryota; Viridiplantae; Streptophyta; Magnoliopsida; Poales; Poaceae.